Cavia porcellus (domestic guinea pig) is the source of this 443-nucleotide long non-coding RNA. RefSeq lists it as uncharacterized. The transcript has 3 exons. The record is from RefSeq and is a predicted model, not a curated record. NCBI's taxonomy places the organism in Eukaryota, Metazoa, Chordata, Mammalia, Rodentia, Caviidae.
AGUGCCUUGAGCUAUCAUCUCAGAUGGCCUUUGGGCGGGAGGGCCAGAGGAAGGAGUUAUGGUUCAAGGACAGGCCUCCAUUGACCCUUCUGACUUUAAUGAGGUAUUUAUGGCCUCCAAGCCCAAGGAAGGGGGAAUAUUGCCCAUCUCUGGGAACUAAAAUGUGCCAGACAUCCUGUGGCCUGAUGGGAAGGACUGGGCUGGCUUCCUCCUGUCAUCACUCUGCAUAGUUAUACACCGAAAGGGCAAUGUGUUCAUCCUGCAGUGUUUUAUAUUGUCCCUGGCUUCCAAGAGAAAGAGUCAGAAGACCUGGGAUUUUUGUUCUGACCCUGCUGCCAACUGGCGUGUGAUCUUAGGAAGAUCCUUCUCUUUUCCAUGUCUUGGUUUCACCAUCUUUAAAAUAAAGGAUGUUAAACUAGGACAGCAAUUUGUAAAAACAUUUU